This is a long non-coding RNA of Pecten maximus, 1647 nucleotides long. RefSeq lists it as uncharacterized. NCBI's taxonomy places the organism in Eukaryota, Metazoa, Mollusca, Bivalvia, Pectinida, Pectinidae. The record is from RefSeq and is a predicted model, not a curated record. The transcript is spliced from 2 exons.
UAUAUCUUUACUGAUUACAAAAAUAUUGUUAAAAUACCAAGCACCAUCACAUACAUUAUUAUGUACUAUUUCAUUUUACAUUUCUGCAAUGACCACAGCAGCCCAACAACUAGUACUAAAAAAGUACUAAAUUCAACAAUGUGAGUUUAAUUUUUUGCUUGGUUGCUAUAAUCAAACAUCUACGUAACCUUAGUUUCUGUGUAUUGCAAGCUACAUUAGGCUGCCUGCACAAAUGAAAAUAAUAGUUUUAUAAUUCAAAAUAUACAGAGAGCCCACUACAGUACAUUGCCCCCUGUUUAUCUGCUAACUAAUUAAUAACCUGUCUCAAUCUAAUUAGAAUUAGACUUGUAAUUUCGACUUCUCUAUCAAUGAUACUCUAUGAUACAUUAUAUAGCAGUGUAUCGUAGAUUAUUUCAGAUGAGCGGAAAUUACAAGUCUAAUCUUAAUUAGAUUGUGUAUUGUCUUGACACGUGAACAAUGUUAAUAAGCGUAUUUCUAAAUACAAUGUGAGUUGUUUUAAAUUAACACAUACAGGUAAAUGUACCAUAAUUAACACAUACAGGUAAAUGUACCAUAAUUAACAAAUACAGGUAAAUGUACCAUUAUGAUAAUUAACACAUACAGGUAAAUGUCCCAUUAUGAUAAUUAACACAUACAGGUAAAUGUUCCAUAAUUAACACCUACAGGUAAAUGUACCAUAAUUAACACAUACAGGUAAAUGUACCAUUCAUAUAUUGGAUGUAAACACCAAUGUCGGUACCUGAUAGUACACCAGGGAAAUCGGUACCUGAUAGUACACCAGGGAAAUCGGUACCUGAUAGUACACCAGGGAAAUCGGUACCUGAUAGUACACCAGGGAACCAGGGAAAUCGGUACCUGAUAGUACACCAGGGAAAUCGGUACCUGAUAGUACACCAGGGAAAUCGGUACCUGAUAGUACACCAGGGAACAAGGGAAAUCGGUACCUGAUAGUACACCAGGGAAAUCGGUACCUGAUAGUACACCAGGGAAAUCGGUACCUGAUAGUACACCAGGGAAAUCAGUACCUGAUAGUACACCAGGGAAAUCGGUACCUGAUAGUACACCAGGGAAAUCGGUACCUGAUAGUACACCAGGGAAAUCAGUACCUGAUAGUACACCAGGGAAAUCAGUACCUGAUAGUACACCAGGGAAAUCGGAGUUGACAAGUAUGGUACAGCCCGCAGCUUUUAUGUUUUUUGGAAAACACUUUGUCAGAUAUCCAGCUGCAGAAGACAUGUUUAAUGUUAUAAAUCAUAUAUAACAUAGGCAUUAACACACAAUAAAUCACAGUACUAUAAUCUCCCAUUGGUAAGAACAUUUUAAACAAAUAUCUGUUAAUUCUUUGUACAUUUAAACAUGACAUAUAUAGUUAUAAGUAUUCAUUACAAAAAAAUAUAGGAAGAAAUAAAGUCCUUAUUUUCUUCUGGCAAAACAAUUUGAUUUAAAUUAAAUUUCAAAUAUUUUGAACUGACUCUUCUUACAAUGUUUCAAACUACAGGUUACAGGUUACAGGUUUCAGGUGGACAAGUUAAAUCCUGUCAUUCUUGAAAAAGAAAAAGUAUUUCAAAUUGUUCUUUUUUUUUCCUAUUGCGUGUUUUUCCUAUUGCGUGUUUUCCUAUUGCGUGU